Molecule: ribosomal RNA, 214 nt
Filed under: uncultured bacterium
Lineage: Bacteria
Description: partial 16S ribosomal RNA
Rfam family: Bacterial small subunit ribosomal RNA
Source: RNAcentral
CGGGGUGAGUAACGCGUGAGAAUCUGCCUUCAGGUUGGGGACAACAGUUGGAAACGACUGCUAAUACCCAAUGUGCCGUGAGGUGAAAGCUUUAGUGCCUGAAGAUGAGCUCGCGUCUGAUUAGCUAGUUGGUGGGGUAAAGGCCUACCAAGGCGACGAUCAGUAGCUGGUCUGAGAGGAUGAUCAGCCACACUGGGACUGAGACACGGCCCAG